Molecule: long non-coding RNA, 453 nt
Organism: Cannabis sativa
Lineage: Eukaryota; Viridiplantae; Streptophyta; Magnoliopsida; Rosales; Cannabaceae
Exons: 3
Source: RefSeq, a predicted model, not a curated record
CCUUCAUAAAAUUUUAACGACAGAUAAAAGAUUCCUCUUAUUGGGUUCUGCGAGAGGUGCUUAAAUUACUCAGAUACUUUGCCAAUUUUCUUUCUCAUCUUUUGGGAGCGGUAUUAAACAUAAAUAGUAUUUCAUUUUCCUCAAUGCCUUUGAGGAGGUCAAGCAGAAUUGGUGUUAUACGACGCUGUUGAUGAUGAUAAUCACUGUUGUGCCCUACGAACGCGGGUACGGUUAUGGUUAGGUCCAUCAGUGCAAGCUGGUGGACCUCCCCAUGUCUGCCCAGUAAUCUCAUUAUCUGGCUGCGAAGAUGCCACACUCGUAGCCACUGUCGGAGCAGCCGGAGGAGUUGCUGGUGAUGCCGAGGAUCCUUUACAACAAUUCCCCAUAGAAUCUAUAUACGUAAGAAGUCUUUGUGUACUCUUUGAGUGCACAAAGCAAAUAUAUGUGCGUGUG